RNAcentral lists this ribosomal RNA (870 nucleotides) under uncultured bacterium. Its description in RNAcentral is "bacterial SSU rRNA". It matches the Rfam family "Bacterial small subunit ribosomal RNA", at positions 49 to 915 of the family's 1533-position model. The record is from RNAcentral.
UUACACAUGCAAGUCGAACGGUAACGCGGAGCAACCCUGGCGACGAGUGGCGAACCGGGUGAGUAGUACAUCGGAACGUGCCCAGUAGUGGGGGAUAGCCCGGCGAAAGCCGGAUUAAUACCGCAUACGACCUACGGGUGAAAGCGGGGGAUCGCAAGACCUUGCGCUAUUAGAUGAGCCGAUGUCGGAUUAGCUAGUUGGUGAGGUAAAGGCUCACCAAGGCGACGAUCCGUAGCUGGUCUGAGAGGACGACCAGCCACACUGGAACUGAGACACGGUCCAGACUCCUACGGGAGGCAGCAGUGGGGAAUAUUGGACAAUGGGGGCAACCCUGAUCCAGCGACGCCGCGUGUGUGAAGAAGGCCUGCGGGUUGUAAAGCACUUUUAGUGGGGAUGAAAAGUUCAGGGUGAAUACCCCUGGAUCUUGACCUAACCCAAAGAAAAAGCACCGGCUAACUCUGUGCCAGCAGCCGCGGUAAUACGAAGGGGGCUAGCGUUGCUCGGAAUCACUGGGCGUAAAGGGUGCGUAGGCGGGUUAUUAAGUCAGAGGUGAAAUCCUGGAGCUCAACUCCAGAACUGCCUUUGAUACUGAUAGUCUUGAGUAUGGGAGAGGUGAGUGGAACUGCGAGUGUAGAGGUGAAAUUCGUAGAUAUUCGCAAGAACACCAGUGGCGAAGGCGGCUCACUGGCCCAUUACUGACGCUGAGGCACGAAAGCGUGGGGAGCAAACAGGAUUAGAUACCCUGGUAGUCCACGCCGUAAACGAUGAAUGCCAGCCGUUAGUGGGUUUACUCACUAGUGGCGCAGCUAACGCUUUAAGCAUUCCGCCUGGGGAGUACGGUCGCAAGAUUAAAACUCAAAAGAAUUGACG